GGGUUGUGAGGUUAAGUGACUAAGCGUACACGGUGGAUGCCCUGGCAGUCAGAGGCGAUGAAGGACGUGCUAAUCUGCGAUAAGCGUCGGUAAGGUGAUAUGAACCGUUAUAACCGGCGAUUUCCGAAUGGGGAAACCCAGUGUGAUUCGUCACACUAUCAUUAACUGAAUCCAUAGGUUAAUGAGGCGAACCGGGGGAACUGAAACAUCUAAGUACCCCGAGGAAAAGAAAUCAACCGAGAUUCCCCCAGUAGCGGCGAGCGAACGGGGAGGAGCCCAGAGCCUGAAUCAGUGUGUGUGUUAGUGGAAGCGUCUGGAAAGGCGCGCGAUACAGGGUGACAGCCCCGUACACAAAAAUGCACAUGCUGUGAGCUCGAUGAGUAGGGCGGGACACGUGGUAUCCUGUCUGAAUAUGGGGGGACCAUCCUCCAAGGCUAAAUACUCCUGACUGACCGAUAGUGAACCAGUACCGUGAGGGAAAGGCGAAAAGAACCCCGGCGAGGGGAGUGAAAAAGAACCUGAAACCGUGUACGUACAAGCAGUGGGAGCACGCUUAGGCGUGUGACUGCGUACCUUUUGUAUAAUGGGUCAGCGACUUAUAUUCUGUAGCAAGGUUAACCGAAUAGGGGAGCCGAAGGGAAACCGAGUCUUAACUGGGCGUUAAGUUGCAGGGUAUAGACCCGAAACCCGGUGAUCUAGCCAUGGGCAGGUUGAAGGUUGGGUAACACUAACUGGAGGACCGAACCGACUAAUGUUGAAAAAUUAGCGGAUGACUUGUGGCUGGGGGUGAAAGGCCAAUCAAACCGGGAGAUAGCUGGUUCUCCCCGAAAGCUAUUUAGGUAGCGCCUCGUGAAUUCAUCUCCGGGGGUAGAGCACUGUUUCGGCAAGGGGGUCAUCCCGACUUACCAACCCGAUGCAAACUGCGAAUACCGGAGAAUGUUAUCACGGGAGACACACGGCGGGUGCUAACGUCCGUCGUGAAGAGGGAAACAACCCAGACCGCCAGCUAAGGUCCCAAAGUCAUGGUUAAGUGGGAAACGAUGUGGGAAGGCCCAGACAGCCAGGAUGUUGGCUUAGAAGCAGCCAUCAUUUAAAGAAAGCGUAAUAGCUCACUGGUCGAGUCGGCCUGCGCGGAAGAUGUAACGGGGCUAAACCAUGCACCGAAGCUGCGGCAGCGACGCUUAUGCGUUGUUGGGUAGGGGAGCGUUCUGUAAGCCUGCGAAGGUGUGCUGUGAGGCAUGCUGGAGGUAUCAGAAGUGCGAAUGCUGACAUAAGUAACGAUAAAGCGGGUGAAAAGCCCGCUCGCCGGAAGACCAAGGGUUCCUGUCCAACGUUAAUCGGGGCAGGGUGAGUCGACCCCUAAGGCGAGGCCGAAAGGCGUAGUCGAUGGGAAACAGGUUAAUAUUCCUGUACUUGGUGUUACUGCGAAGGGGGGACGGAGAAGGCUAUGUUGGCCGGGCGACGGUUGUCCCGGUUUAAGCGUGUAGGCUGGUUUUCCAGGCAAAUCCGGAAAAUCAAGGCUGAGGCGUGAUGACGAGGCACUACGGUGCUGAAGCAACAAAUGCCAUGCUUCCAGGAAAAGCCUCUAAGCAUCAGGUAACAUCAAAUCGUACCCCAAACCGACACAGGUGGUCAGGUAGAGAAUACCAAGGCGCUUGAGAGAACUCGGGUGAAGGAACUAGGCAAAAUGGUGCCGUAACUUCGGGAGAAGGCACGCUGAUAUGUAGGUGAAGCGACUUGCUCGUGGAGCUGAAAUCAGUCGAAGAUACCAGCUGGCUGCAACUGUUUAUUAAAAACACAGCACUGUGCAAACACGAAAGUGGACGUAUACGGUGUGACGCCUGCCCGGUGCCGGAAGGUUAAUUGAUGGGGUCAGCGCAAGCGAAGCUCUUGAUCGAAGCCCCGGUAAACGGCGGCCGUAACUAUAACGGUCCUAAGGUAGCGAAAUUCCUUGUCGGGUAAGUUCCGACCUGCACGAAUGGCGUAAUGAUGGCCAGGCUGUCUCCACCCGAGACUCAGUGAAAUUGAACUCGCUGUGAAGAUGCAGUGUACCCGCGGCAAGACGGAAAGACCCCGUGAACCUUUACUAUAGCUUGACACUGAACAUUGAGCCUUGAUGUGUAGGAUAGGUGGGAGGCUUUGAAGUGUGGACGCCAGUCUGCAUGGAGCCGACCUUGAAAUACCACCCUUUAAUGUUUGAUGUUCUAACGUUGACCCGUAAUCCGGGUUGCGGACAGUGUCUGGUGGGUAGUUUGACUGGGGCGGUCUCCUCCUAAAGAGUAACGGAGGAGCACGAAGGUUGGCUAAUCCUGGUCGGACAUCAGGAGGUUAGUGCAAUGGCAUAAGCCAGCUUGACUGCGAGCGUGACGGCGCGAGCAGGUGCGAAAGCAGGUCAUAGUGAUCCGGUGGUUCUGAAUGGAAGGGCCAUCGCUCAACGGAUAAAAGGUACUCCGGGGAUAACAGGCUGAUACCGCCCAAGAGUUCAUAUCGACGGCGGUGUUUGGCACCUCGAUGUCGGCUCAUCACAUCCUGGGGCUGAAGUAGGUCCCAAGGGUAUGGCUGUUCGCCAUUUAAAGUGGUACGCGAGCUGGGUUUAGAACGUCGUGAGACAGUUCGGUCCCUAUCUGCCGUGGGCGCUGGAGAACUGAGGGGGGCUGCUCCUAGUACGAGAGGACCGGAGUGGACGCAUCACUGGUGUUCGGGUUGUCAUGCCAAUGGCACUGCCCGGUAGCUAAAUGCGGAAGAGAUAAGUGCUGAAAGCAUCUAAGCACGAAACUUGCCCCGAGAUGAGUUCUCCCUGACUCCUUGAGAGUCCUGAAGGAACGUUGAAGACGACGACGUUGAUAGGCCGGGUGUGUAAGCGCAGUGAUGCGUUGAGCUAACCGGUACUAAUGAACCGUGAGGCUUAACCUUACAACGCCGAAGGUGUUU
RNAcentral lists this ribosomal RNA (2931 nucleotides) under Escherichia coli. RNAcentral describes it as "23S ribosomal RNA". It matches the Rfam family "Bacterial large subunit ribosomal RNA". The record is from RNAcentral. Lineage: Bacteria; Pseudomonadati; Pseudomonadota; Gammaproteobacteria; Enterobacterales; Enterobacteriaceae.